GAUGAACGCUGGCGGCGUGCCUAAUACAUGCAAGUCGAGCGAACAGACGAGUAGCUUGCUCCUCUGACGUUAGCGGCGGACGGGUGAGUAACACGUGGAUAACCUACCUAUAAGACUGGGAUAACUUCGGGAAACCGGAGCUAAUACCGGAUAAUAUAUUGAACCGCAUGGUUCAAUAGUGAAAGACGGUUUUGCUGUCACUUAUAGAUGGAUCCGCGCCGCAUUAGCUAGUUGGUAAGGUAACGGCUUACCAAGGCAACGAUGCGUAGCCGACCUGAGAGGGUGAUCGGCCACACUGGAACUGAGACACGGUCCAGACUCCUACGGGAGGCAGCAGUAGGGAAUCUUCCGCAAUGGGCGAAAGCCUGACGGAGCAACGCCGCGUGAGUGAUGAAGGUCUUCGGAUCGUAAAACUCUGUUAUUAGGGAAGAACAAAUGUGUAAGUAACUAUGCACGUCUUGACGGUACCUAAUCAGAAAGCCACGGCUAACUACGUG
RNAcentral lists this ribosomal RNA (497 nucleotides) under uncultured bacterium. RNAcentral's name for it is "partial 16S ribosomal RNA". It matches the Rfam family "Bacterial small subunit ribosomal RNA", at positions 28 to 507 of the family's 1533-position model. The record is from RNAcentral.